RNAcentral lists this ribosomal RNA (429 nucleotides) under Fusobacteriota bacterium. Its description in RNAcentral is "Fusobacteria bacterium partial 16S ribosomal RNA". It matches the Rfam family "Bacterial small subunit ribosomal RNA", at positions 355 to 776 of the family's 1533-position model. The record is from RNAcentral. Lineage: Bacteria; Fusobacteriati; Fusobacteriota.
UGGGGAAUCUUCCGCAAUGGACGAAAGUCUGACGGAGCAACGCCGCGUGAGUGAAGACGGCCUUCGGGUUGUAAAGCUCUGUGAUCCGGGACGAAAGAGCCUGAGGUGAAUAGCCUAAGGAAGUGACGGUACCGGAAAAGCAAGCCACGGCUAACUACGUGCCAGCAGCCGCGGUAAUACGUAGGUGGCAAGCGUUGUCCGGAAUUAUUGGGCGUAAAGCGCGCGCAGGCGGCUUCCUAAGUCCAUCUUAAAAGUGCGGGGCUUAACCCCGUGAUGGGAUGGAAACUGGGAAGCUGGAGUAUCGGAGAGGAAAGUGGAAUUCCUAGUGUAGCGGUGAAAUGCGUAGAGAUUAGGAAGAACACCGGUGGCGAAGGCGACUGUCUGGACGAAAACUGACGCUGAGGCGCGAAAGCGUGGGGAGCAAACAGG